AUUUCCCUGAUAGCGGCGAGCGAAAUGGGAGUAGUUUAAAACUGUAAAAACGAGAUUGUGGGAGAGUAAUACAAGCGUCGUACUGUUAGGCGAAGCGGUGGAGUACUGCACUCUGGAUGACGAGAGUCCAGUAGCCGAAAGCAUCUCUACCUUACGCUCUGACCCAAUUACCAUGGGGCACAUGGAGUCCUGUGUGAAUCAGCAAGGAUCGCCUUACAAGACUAAG
Molecule: non-coding RNA, 226 nt
Filed under: Daucus carota subsp. sativus
Lineage: Eukaryota; Viridiplantae; Streptophyta; Magnoliopsida; Apiales; Apiaceae
Description: Bacterial large subunit ribosomal RNA
Rfam family: Bacterial large subunit ribosomal RNA
Source: Rfam by way of RNAcentral